CUACGGGGCGCUCCAGUGAGGAAUAUUGCACAAUGGGGGGAACCCUGAUGCAGCAACGCCGCAUGGAGGAUGACGCAUUUCGGUGUGUAAACUCCUUUUAUAUGUCAAGAAAAUGACGGUAGCAUAUGAAUAAGCACCGGCUAACUCCGUGCCAGCAGCCGCGGUAAUACGGAGGGUGCAAGCGUUACUCGGAAUCACUGGGCGUAAAGGACGCGUAGGCGGGUUGGAAAGUCAGGUGUGAAAUCCUACAGCUUAACUGUAGAACUGCACUUGAAACUUCUAAUCUAGAGUAUGUGAGGGGGAGAUGGAAUUAGUGGUGUAGGGGUAAAAUCCGUAGAUAUCACUAGGAAUACCUAAAGCGAAGGCGAUCUCCUGGAACAUUACUGACGCUAAGGCGUGAAAGCGUGGGGAGCAAACAGGAUUAGAUACCCCAGUAGUC
RNAcentral lists this ribosomal RNA (439 nucleotides) under uncultured bacterium. RNAcentral's name for it is "partial 16S ribosomal RNA". It matches the Rfam family "Bacterial small subunit ribosomal RNA", at positions 339 to 795 of the family's 1533-position model. The record is from RNAcentral.